GGUUAACCGAAUAGGGGAGCCGGAGGGAAACCGAGUCUUAACCGGGCGUUAAGUUGCAGGGUAUAGACCCGAAACCCGGUGAUCUAGCCAUGGGCAGGUUGAAGGUUGGGUAACACUAACUGGAGGACCGAACCGACUAAUGUUGAAAAAUUAGCGGAUGACCUGUGGCUGGGGGUGAAAGGCCAAUCAAACCGGGAGAUAGCUGGUUCUCCCCGAAAGCUAUUUAGGUAGCGCCUCGUGAAUUCAUCUCCGGGGGUAGAGCACUGUUUCGGCUAGGGGGCCAUCCCGGCUUACCAACCCGAUGCAAACUGCGAAUACCGGAGAAUGUUAUCACGGGAGACACACGGCGGGUGCUAACGUCCGUCGUGAAGAGGGAAACAACCCAGACCGCCAGCUAAGGUCCCAAAGUCAUGGUUAAGUGGGAAACGAUGUGGGAAGGCCCAGACAGCCAGGAUGUUGGCUUAGAAGCAGCCAUCAUUUAAAGAAAGCGUAAUAGCUCACUGGUCGAGUCGGCCUGCGCGGAAGAUGUAACGGGGCUAAACCAUGCACCGAAGCUGCGGCAGCGACGCUUAUGCGUUGUUGGGUAGGGGAGCGUUCUGUAAGCCUGUGAAGGUGUGUCGUGAGGC
Molecule: ribosomal RNA, 626 nt
Filed under: Salmonella enterica
Lineage: Bacteria; Pseudomonadati; Pseudomonadota; Gammaproteobacteria; Enterobacterales; Enterobacteriaceae
Description: partial 23S ribosomal RNA
Rfam family: Bacterial large subunit ribosomal RNA
Source: RNAcentral